GAUGAACGCUGGCGGCGUGCCUAAUACAUGCAAGUCGAGCGAACAGACGAGGAGCUUGCUCCUCUGACGUUAGCGGCGGACGGGUGAGUAACACGUGGAUAACCUACCUAUAAGACUGGGAUAACUUCGGGAAACCGGAGCUAAUACCGGAUAAUAUAUUGAACCGCAUGGUUCAAUAGUGAAAGACGGUUUUGCUGUCACUUAUAGAUGGAUCCGCGCCGCAUUAGCUAGUUGGUAAGGUAACGGCUUACCAAGGCAACGAUGCGUAGCCGACCUGAGAGGGUGAUCGGCCACACUGGAGCUGAGACGCGGUCCAGACUCCUACGGGAGGCAGCAGUAGGGAAUCUUCCGAAAUGGGCGAAAGCCUGACGGAGCAACGCAGCGUGAGUGAUGAAGGUCUGCGGAUCGUAAAACUCUGUUAUUAGGGAAGAACAAAUGUGUAAGUAACUAUGCACGUCUUGACGGUACCUAAGCAGAAAGCCACGGCUAACUACGU
This 496-nucleotide ribosomal RNA is filed under the name uncultured bacterium. RNAcentral's name for it is "partial 16S ribosomal RNA". It matches the Rfam family "Bacterial small subunit ribosomal RNA", at positions 28 to 506 of the family's 1533-position model. The record is from RNAcentral.